RNAcentral lists this ribosomal RNA (447 nucleotides) under uncultured bacterium. RNAcentral describes it as "bacterial SSU rRNA". It matches the Rfam family "Bacterial small subunit ribosomal RNA", at positions 355 to 825 of the family's 1533-position model. The record is from RNAcentral.
UCGGGAAUUUUGGGCAAUGGGCGAAAGCCUGAUCCAGCCAUGCCGCGUGAGUGACGAAGGCCUUAGGGUUGUAAAACUCUUUCGUCGGGGACGAUAAUGACGGUACCCGAAGAAGAAGCUCCGGCUAACUUCGUGCCAGCAGCCGCGGUAAUACGAAGGGAGCUAGCGUUGUUCGGAAUCACUGGGCGUAAAGCGCACGUAGGCGGAUAGUUAAGUCAGGGGUGAAAUCCUGGGGCUCAACCUCGGAACUGCCUUUGAUACUGUUAGUCUCGAGUCCGAUAGAGGUGAGUGGAAUUCCUAGUGUAGAGGUGAAAUUCGUAGAUAUUAGGAAGAACACCAGUGGCGAAGGCGGCUCACUGGAUCGGUACUGACGCUGAGGUGCGAAAGCGUGGGGAGCAAACAGGAUUAGAUACCCCUGUAGUCCCUGAGCGGGCUGGCAAGGCGCAU